RNAcentral lists this transfer-messenger RNA (360 nucleotides) under Rubrobacter sp. It matches the Rfam family "transfer-messenger RNA". From Rfam's summary of the family: Bacterial tmRNA, also known as 10Sa RNA or SsrA, is named for its dual tRNA and mRNA-like properties. Its role is to liberate the mRNA from a stalled ribosome. The record is from RNAcentral. Lineage: Bacteria; Bacillati; Actinomycetota; Rubrobacteria; Rubrobacterales; Rubrobacteraceae.
GGGGGCGUACCGGCUUCGACGUGAGCGGUCAGCGUCUCGUGAGACGAGCCGAGUUUGCUGGAGACUCGUUAAACGCCGGCAGCUAAACAUACACGCCAACGAUGACGUGGAACUGGCUUACGCUGCUUAGAUAGCGUAGCCCAUCGGCCCGGGUAGUCCACGACCCGGGUACCGGUGUCAUCUUAGUGGGCUCACCCUUUGGGUCCUGGCCCGGGGCUUAAAGGGGACAUUCGAACGGGCUAGCCCUCCUGCGGCGCCCCGGUCCGCAGGGUAGGGCGAAACUAAACCGGGUGCGACGCUCGUAGAAUCUCACGGACGGCGCGUUCGCGGACGCGGGUUCGAAUCCCGCCGCCUCCACUA